GGCAGUAGCAACACACACAUUGACCCAUCUGUCCCUGUUCCAGCGCUGACUGCAGUAGGAUGUGGACUUUCUGCUACUGACAGACCUCUCUGAGCAAUCUCCUGCUGCUUUUAACUGAUAGGAUGGAGGGGAAAAGUAAUUUUGUUCCUAACGAGUGCUGGAUAACAGCCUACAAACCCGAAGUUCGUGGUGAUUAGGGGCAGUGCAAGCCCAUGAUAUCUUAUCUCAGCAGUGAAGGAGGCUGAGAAAAGUUGUGUGUUUGAUUGCCAUCAGAAGUGGCAUUGGACUCCGGCUCUUUGAAGUACCAAAGGCUGUUGUUGUCAGGAGGGAUAAAGGACAUGUAACUCCUCUCUUUGAGAAUAUCUGCAGUGGAAUUCAUCAGAUUAAAUGUCAAUAUUGAUGUUGGACUUAA
Molecule: long non-coding RNA, 412 nt
Organism: Cyanistes caeruleus (blue tit)
Lineage: Eukaryota; Metazoa; Chordata; Aves; Passeriformes; Paridae
Source: RefSeq, a predicted model, not a curated record